ACCCGAGUCUCCAACUCCCCAUCCCCCAGCCGCAGCCUAGAGCCCCAGAACCGCGGCACGCACGGCCGCCCGCCAUCAGCUGCUCGCGCAAUCACGGCCACUCGACCGCGUCUCCCCAUCCAGCCGCUGCCCGCCGGCCGGCCGCCAUCGGCUGCUGCUCGCCGGCCGUCGCCCUCCAUCCCGAGCCCCCGCCGGCCGCCGCCCGACUGCCCCGAGCCCCCAAGGCCCCGAUGCCCGCCAUCGGCUGCGGCUCGCCGGCCGCUCGCUGUCCGCGCCGGCAACCGGCUGCCGCUCUCCAUCGAGGGCCCCCGCCGCCCGCCGCCCGACCGCCCCGAGCCCCCAAGGCCCCGACGCCUGCCCGUUGUCGCUUCCCAUGUCGCGCGCUGGAGGAGCAGGAGCAGGACGCUGCGCUGGCUCUGUACCCUCAUAGAAGCACCUAGGCUUGGGGUCGUCAUUCGGAAGAUUGCUCCCAUCACCGUUGCCACCACCAUCUUCUAUUAAAGGCAGCAGCAGCGGCUGCGCAUCUGCUUCAGGUGGCUUCAUCUUCAGCAGCCAAGAAUGACAAUGCAAAUCAAGUAGUUGGUCUUGACAGUGGCAGUGGAACACCAACACAAGGAUCUGUUCUUAGGGUUGAUGGUAGUGACACAAACACACAGCAAACACAAGAUCAAGGUAUUGUACCUACACCAACACAAGGAUCUAUUCUCGGGGUUGAUGGUAGUGACACAAACACACAGCAAACACAAGAUCAAGGUGUUGUACCUACUGUAGAUAUUAUUGCUCUUGAAGAUGAUGAUGAGGGAGAGGGAGAGAGAGAGAGGAAGUUCAGGGGAUAACAAAGAGGCUGAAAAAGUGCACAUUUAUUGUGUGAAAAUACUUUAACAAGAAAAUAGAGAUAGUUGAGGUGGAUGGAAAGAAGUAUGAGCAGUUGUGGGGCUACUGUAAAUUCCCAAGAUGCAAGCAGAGGUAUAGAGCUGAGUGCAACUAUGGCACUACCGGAUUUAGGAACCAUCUAAAGUCAGCACAUAAUAUUGUCAAAGGGCAGCUGCAACUCAAGGCAGAAAAGGAUCAUGGGAAAAAUGUAACUACUUUUCAGCCGUACAAGUAUGAUCAAGAAGCUAGUGUGAAAACGCUCUAUUUGGCAACAAUAAUGCAUGAGUAUCCAUUUAAUAUUGUUGAGCAUGACUACUUUGUGGAAUUCAUCAAGUCCUUGCGCCCUAGCUUCCCAUUGAAAUCUAGGAUCACUGCUAGAAAGGAUAUAAUGGACAUAUAUUUAGAAGAAAAGGAGAAGUUAUAUGCAUACUUGAAAACAGUCCCUAGCCAUUUUAGUGCCACCAUGGACAUGUGGACAUCUUGUCAAAAUAAAGGAUACAUGUGUACGACCUUGCAUUGGGUUGAUGAUGAGUGGCAUAUUCAGAAGAGGAUUGUGGGUUUCUUUCAUGUAGAGGGUCGGCAUACUGGUCAUAAGUUGGCAGAGUUCUUUACCGAAGUGAUGGUUAAGUGGUUUGUUGAGAAAAAUUUAUUUGCCUUAACUUUAGACAAUGCAUCAAGUAACCUAGUGGCAGUCACUGAUAUUAUUGAUGAUCUUAGAGAGAAUGGCAAUGCUUCUUUAGUUUGUGAUGGGAUAUUUUUUUCAUAUUAGAUGUGCAUUACAUACUUAACCUGGUUGCAUGAGAUGGGCUACCUGUUAUUUUAAAAGCACUUGACAAAAUUAAAGCAUUGGCAGUAACUGUGAAGAGCUCUCCUUUGCAAUAGGAGGAGCUCAUGAAACGUGCUGCUGAGUGUGAGCUAGAUACAUCAAAAGCCAUUCAACUUGAUGUUUCAACAAGGUGGAACUCCACCUAUUUGAUGCUAAGGGAUUUGUUGCACUACAAGCCUGCUUUCAUAGGCUCAAGGCAUCGAACCGCUGUAAGUAUGGUAAGAUUUCUCCUUCAGAGAGUGAACGGGCCAUGGCUGUCAAAGUGUUUCAGUGCUUGAAGAAAUCUUUUGAUCUUACUGAAUUGCUUUCUGGUACCUCAUAUCCUACUGCCAAUCAUUUUUUGAGAUAAAGGAGCUGCGGGAUAAAUGGUGUGUUGGUGCAGAUUUGACUAUUAGGCAAAUAGCAAUUUCUAUGAGUAAAAAGUUUGAGAAAUAUUGGAGCUGUUCUAGUAUGAGUCUUGCUGUUGCAUGCUUCCUUGAUCCAAGGUGUAAGAAGAAACUUGUUGAAUUCUACAUGAGAAAAUUCUAUGGUGAUUAUUAUUAGAUUCGGCUUGAUGAGUUUGUUAGUAUUUUGAAGAACUUGUAUCAGUUUUAUGCUAGCUCUCAACCUGCUUCUUCAAGGAGUGAUAUCAAUACAAAUGAACAUGUCAGCCCAACAAAUUCUUUAUUUGAAAACCAAGAUACUGAACUUGAGAAGUUCUUAUAUGAUGAUUGUGGGACUAAUGGAAGUGGCUCAAAUAAGUUGGAUAAGUACAUGGCAGAGUCACUUUUGAAGCAAAAUUUAUUUAAUAUUUUAGCAUACCGGAAGAAUGAAACAACCAAGUAUCCUAUUUUGUCACAAAUUGCUUGUGAUAUGAUGGCUAUACAAGUGUCAACAGUUGUUUCCGAGUCUACUUUAGUGGUGUAGGUCGAGUUAUUGAUCCUUAUUGUAAUCGUCUUGACCCUGAGAUGGUGCAAGCAUUGAUCUGCACCAAAGAUUGGAUAAAGGCUUUAAAAAAAUUACUAAAACCUGCUGUUUAAUUAGAAUGUUCCAAAAAUAUGUAAUGUACUAAUUCAUAUGUACUGAUCUUUCUUUUUGUUUUUUCAGAUUCUAAAUAUAUUCCUUCAAUCGUGGAUGAUCUGAAACCUCCAGAGACCAUUCCUGUUAGUCCUAGUCAUGAAUAUAUGUGUUGAAAAAUAUAGGAUGCAGAAGCAUAAAGUGAUCCAGAUGUAAUGAAUGAAGAUGGUGAGCUGUGAAAGAAAUCUGAUGCUACUUUAAUGCUAUGUUGAUUGAUGAACUAUUUCAGAACUUGUGCUUUGUGGACUACUCUUGUAAUGUAAUAGUUGUGAACCUAUAGUUUGUUGUUUGGUCAUGUGGAAUUGUGACAGUAAACUUGUUUGUCUAAUUCUCUUAUCGACUGUGUAAUGAACUACUGCUGAUGGAUUAUUGACUUUUGUGCUUGUGUAGCUA
Long non-coding RNA from Panicum hallii, 3148 nucleotides. RefSeq lists it as uncharacterized. The record is from RefSeq and is a predicted model, not a curated record. The transcript is spliced from 2 exons. NCBI's taxonomy places the organism in Eukaryota, Viridiplantae, Streptophyta, Magnoliopsida, Poales, Poaceae.